This 161-nucleotide ribosomal RNA is filed under the name uncultured bacterium. RNAcentral's name for it is "partial 16S ribosomal RNA". It matches the Rfam family "Bacterial small subunit ribosomal RNA", at positions 1340 to 1500 of the family's 1533-position model. The record is from RNAcentral.
AAUGGCAGGUCAGCAUACUGCCGUGAAUACGUUCCCGGGCCUUGUACACACCGCCCGUCACACCAUAAGAGUUGGGAAUACCCGAAGCCUGUGAGCUAACAUUUAUGAGGCAGCAGUCGAAGGUAGAAUCAAUGAUUGGGGUGAAGUCGUAACAAGGUACC